ACGGAGGUUGCAAGCGUUGUUCGGAAUUACUGGGCGUAAAGGGAGCGCAGGCGGCCAAGUCAGUCUGAAGUGAAAUCCCGGGGCUUAACCUCGGAAGUGCUUUGGAUACUACUUGGCUAGAGUACGUGAGAGGUGAGCGGAAUUCCAGGUGUAGCGGUGAAAUGCGUAGAUAUCUGGAGGAACACCCGUGGCGAAAGCGGCUCACUGGCGCGUAACUGACGCUGAGGCUCGAAAGCGUGGGGAGCAAACGG
This 251-nucleotide ribosomal RNA is filed under the name uncultured prokaryote. RNAcentral describes it as "partial 16S rRNA". It matches the Rfam family "Bacterial small subunit ribosomal RNA", at positions 525 to 775 of the family's 1533-position model. The record is from RNAcentral.